This 289-nucleotide long non-coding RNA is filed under the name Numida meleagris (helmeted guineafowl). Its description in RNAcentral is "lncRNA (ENSNMEG00000017888.1)". The record is from RNAcentral. Lineage: Eukaryota; Metazoa; Chordata; Aves; Galliformes; Numididae.
GUUUUAUCCUUGCACAAUUCUGAGUAAAUGAGCCACGUGCCAGGUUGAUAUUCCUUAUUAGUCAUCUUUCUGUCACAGGACAGUGCUAACUCUACUCUGUUUCUCCUUUCAGUGUAUUUCUUCUGCCUUCCAAAAUCUUCAGGGAGAUUGUGUCUCGCAUAUCACUACCUAUGGGACUCACCUCAUCCCGUUGCUGGCAGCAGUUAUGGUAGAUCGACUAUUCUGCUCACAUUUUCAAAUAACUACUUGUGAAAAUGUUCUGCAUUAAAAAUGAGUUGUUUCAUACUGU